GACGAACGCUGGCGGCGUGCUUAACACAUGCAAGUCGAACGGAAAGGCCCUGCUUGCAGGGUACUCGAGUGGCGAACGGGUGAGUAACACGUGGGUGAUCUGCCCUGCACUUCGGGAUAAGCCUGGGAAACUGGGUCUAAUACCGGAUAGGAGCCAUUUUUAGUGUGAUGGUUGGAAAGUUUUUUCGGUGUAGGAUGAGCUCGCGGCCUAUCAGCUUGUUGGUGGGGUAAUGGCCUACCAAGGCGGCGACGGGUAGCCGGCCUGAGAGGGUGGACGGCCACAUUGGGACUGAGAUACGGCCCAGACUCCUACGGGAGGCAGCAGUGGGGAAUAUUGCACAAUGGGCGCAAGCCUGAUGCAGCGACGCCGCGUGGGGGAUGACGGCCUUCGGGUUGUAAACUCCUUUCGCUAGGGACGAAGCUUUUUGUGACGGGACCUAGAUAAGAAGCACCGGCUAACUACG
RNAcentral lists this ribosomal RNA (463 nucleotides) under uncultured bacterium. RNAcentral's name for it is "partial 16S ribosomal RNA". It matches the Rfam family "Bacterial small subunit ribosomal RNA", at positions 28 to 505 of the family's 1533-position model. The record is from RNAcentral.